This 567-nucleotide ribosomal RNA is filed under the name uncultured bacterium. Its description in RNAcentral is "partial 16S ribosomal RNA". It matches the Rfam family "Bacterial small subunit ribosomal RNA", at positions 355 to 1375 of the family's 1533-position model. The record is from RNAcentral.
UGGGGAAUAUUGCACAAUGGGCGAAAGCCUGAUGCAGCAACGCCGCGUGAGGGACGACGGCCUUCGGGUUGUAAACCUCUUUUAGCAAGGAAGAAGCGAAAGUGACGGUACUUGCAGAAAAAGCGCCGGCUAACUACGUGCCAGCAGCCGCGGUAAUACGUAGGGCGCAAGCGUUAUCCGGAAUUAUUGGGCGUAAAGAGCUCGUAGGCGGUUUGUCGCGUCUGCUGUGAAAACCCGAGGCUCAACCUCGGGCCUGCAGUGGGUACGGGCAGACUAGAGUGCGGUAGGGGAGAUUGGAACUCCUGGUGUGGCGGUGGAAUGCGCAGAUAUCAGGAAGAACACCGAUGGCGAAGGCAGAUCUCUGGGCCGUAACUGACGCUGAGGAGCGAAAGGGUGGGGAGCAAACAGGCUUAGAUACCCUGGUAGUCCACCCCGUAAACGUUGGGAACUAGUUGUGGGGUCCAUUCCACGGAUUCCGUGACGCAGCUAACGCAUUAAGUUCCCCGCCUGGGGAGUACGGCCGCAAGGCUAAACUCAAAUGAAUUGACGGGGUCAUAGCUGUUUCCU